RNAcentral lists this ribosomal RNA (544 nucleotides) under Salmonella enterica subsp. enterica serovar Newport str. SHSN007. Its description in RNAcentral is "bacterial LSU rRNA". It matches the Rfam family "Bacterial large subunit ribosomal RNA", at positions 669 to 1211 of the family's 2925-position model. The record is from RNAcentral. Lineage: Bacteria; Pseudomonadati; Pseudomonadota; Gammaproteobacteria; Enterobacterales; Enterobacteriaceae. RNAcentral also lists the same sequence under 1 other name.
UAGGGAAACCGAGUCUUAAUUGGGCGUUAAGUUGCAGGGUAUAGACCCGAAACCCGGUGAUCUAGCCAUGGGCAGGUUGAAGGUUGGGUAACACUAACUGGAGGACCGAACCGACUAAUGUUGAAAAAUUAGCGGAUGACCUGUGGCUGGGGGUGAAAGGCCAAUCAAACCGGGAGAUAGCUGGUUCUCCCCGAAAGCUAUUUAGGUAGCGCCUCGUGAAUUCAUCUCCGGGGGUAGAGCACUGUUUCGGCUAGGGGGCCAUCCCGGCUUACCAACCCGAUGCAAACUGCGAAUACCGGAGAAUGUUAUCACGGGAGACACACGGCGGGUGCUAACGUCCGUCGUGAAGAGGGAAACAACCCAGACCGCCAGCUAAGGUCCCAAAGUCAUGGUUAAGUGGGAAACGAUGUGGGAAGGCCCAGACAGCCAGGAUGUUGGCUUAGAAGCAGCCAUCAUUUAAAGAAAGCGUAAUAGCUCACUGGUCGAGUCGGCCUGCGCGGAAGAUGUAACGGGGCUAAACCAUGCACCGAAGCUGCGGCAGCGA